RNAcentral lists this ribosomal RNA (497 nucleotides) under uncultured bacterium. RNAcentral's name for it is "partial 16S ribosomal RNA". It matches the Rfam family "Bacterial small subunit ribosomal RNA", at positions 28 to 507 of the family's 1533-position model. The record is from RNAcentral.
GACGAACGCUGGCGGCGUGCCUAAUACAUGCAAGUUGAGCGCUGAAGGUUGGUACUUGUACCGACUGGAUGAGCAGCGAACGGGUGAGUAACGCGUGGGGAAUCUGCCUUUGAGCGGGGGACAACAUUUGGAAACGAAUGCUAAUACCGCAUAAAAACUUUAAACACAAGUUUUAAGUUUGAAAGAUGCAAUUGCAUCACUCAAAGAUGAUCUCGCGUUGUAUUAGCUAGUUGGUGAGGUAAAGGCUCACCAAGGCGAUGAUACAUAGCCGAACUGGGAGGGGGAUCGGCCACAAUUGGACUUGGAAACGGCCCAAAAUCCCUAGGGAAGCAGCAGUAGGGAAACUUCGGGAAAGGAGGAAAGUCUGACCGGGCCAAGCCACGGGAGUGAAGAAGGUUGUCGGGUCGGAAAACUCUGUUGGUAGAGAAGAACGUUGGUGAGAGUGGAAAGCGCAUCAAGUGACGGUAACUAACCAGAAAGGGACGGCUAACUACGUG